This 141-nucleotide non-coding RNA is filed under the name Anabaena cylindrica. The record is from RNAcentral. RNAcentral also lists the same sequence under 1 other name. Lineage: Bacteria; Bacillati; Cyanobacteriota; Cyanophyceae; Nostocales; Nostocaceae.
AUGUUUAUUCUCAAUGUCGGUUUUAAUGGAAAAACCAUUAAACGCAAGGGGGAAAGUUUGGUGUAAAUCCAACGCUGUCCCGCAGCUGUAAUGAGGCUUAUGUCUCUGAGUCAGAAUGCCCGCCGAAAGUGAAACUAACCA